UAGCUCAACAGGGCGAACCGGGGGAACUGAAACAUCUAAGUACCCCGAGGAAAAGAAAUCAACCGAGAUUCCGAAAGUAGCGGCGAGCGAAAUUGGACUAGCCCUUAAGCUUUACACGCGUUAGACGAACAGCCUGGAAAGGCCGACGAUACAGGGUGAUAGUCCCGUAGUUGACGACGUGUGUUCAGUGAAAUCGAGUAGGGCGGGACACGUGAUAUCCUGUCUGAAUAUGGGGGGACCAUCCUCCAAGGCUAAAUACUACUGACUGACCGAUAGUGAACCAGUACCGUGAGGGAAAGGCGAAAAGAACCCCUGUGAGGGGAGUGAAAUAGAACCUGAAACCGUGUACGUACAAGCAGUAGGAGCAGGCUUUGUCCUGUGACUGCGUACCUUUUGUAUAAUGGGUCAGCGACUUAUAUUCAGUGGCAAGGUUAACCAUCUAGGGGAGCCGUAGGGAAACCGAGUCUUAACUGGGCGUUCAGUCUCUGGAUAUAGACCCGAAACCAGGUGAUCUAGCCAUGGGCAGGUUGAAGGUUGAGUAACAUC
RNAcentral lists this ribosomal RNA (546 nucleotides) under uncultured bacterium. Its description in RNAcentral is "bacterial LSU rRNA". It matches the Rfam family "Bacterial large subunit ribosomal RNA", at positions 167 to 763 of the family's 2925-position model. The record is from RNAcentral.